RNAcentral lists this ribosomal RNA (498 nucleotides) under uncultured bacterium. RNAcentral's name for it is "partial 16S ribosomal RNA". It matches the Rfam family "Bacterial small subunit ribosomal RNA", at positions 899 to 1397 of the family's 1533-position model. The record is from RNAcentral.
ACUCAAAGGAAUUGACGGGGGCCCGCACAAGCGGUGGAGCAUGUGGUUUAAUUCGACGCAACGCGAAGAACCUUACCUGGGCUCGAAAUGUUAUGGACCGGGGUAGAAAUAUCCCUUCCCAGCAAUGGGCCGUAAUAUAGGUGCUGCAUGGCUGUCGUCAGCUCGUGUCGUGAGAUGUUGGGUUAAGUCCCGCAACGAGCGCAACCCUUAUCCCCAGUUGCCAUCAUUUAGUUGGGCACUCUGGUGAAACCGCCUCGGAUAACGGGGAGGAAGGUGGGGAUGACGUCAAGUCCUCAUGGCCUUUAUGUCCAGGGCUACACACGUGCUACAAUGGCCGGUACAAACCGUCGCAAACCCGUGAGGGGGAGCUAAUCGGAAAAAGCCGUCCUCAGUUCGGAUUGUAGUCUGCAACUCGACUACAUGAAGCUGGAAUCGCUAGUAAUCGCGGAUCAGAAUGCCGCGGUGAAUACGUUCCCGGGCCUUGUACACACCGCCCGU